Molecule: non-coding RNA, 6208 nt
Organism: Callithrix jacchus (white-tufted-ear marmoset)
Lineage: Eukaryota; Metazoa; Chordata; Mammalia; Primates; Cebidae
Source: RefSeq, a predicted model, not a curated record
UCAGGCGUGUGAAUGAAUAAUUAAUUCAUUUUGGAGCUUUCAGACAAUGCCAGACAACUCUGCAAGAGACCCCAAUUUAAGACCUCCCUGUAAACCUGUAGAAACAUAAGAAAAAAUUUUGCCUAAUGCUACCAGCUUUGGAGGUGGUUUGUUAUAAUAAUGAAAACAUUUCUUACCAGGGAAAUUUCCCAUUGUCUGUGGCCUGGAGGCCAAGCCUUCUUUCCCCACAUCUGGCCCCUCCCUCAUACAUGCCAGGCCUUACCCCUGCUUGAGGUUAUCAACGAGCAAUUUCCCAAACUCCUUUUCAGUUAGCCCUCUUUCUGUUUCACUUUCUCCUUUCAGACCAUGUAGGAAGUAAGGCAGAUGUGAAUGCUACUUACAUUUCUCCUGGUAAAAAAAAAAAAAAAGCCCAUUCAAGGCAUUUCCCAGAUAAAAGGAAAUCAACUUCUCUAAAGAUAAAUGUUGCCAUUCUCUUAAAAGGUUGCAGCAGCUGCAGUGACAGUUCUAAAUGCCACUCUUCCCCCUUCUUGCUACGUAUGUACAAACUGUACAGAAACAGGCAGGAUGAAAAUAUAACAAACUGUUAACAGAAAAUGUUUCUCAAGGAUUUCUUCCUACCUUAAAAGUACCUUUUAUUAUUUCAUUCUCAACAAAAUCAUUUUUAUAACACAGAUAUUUUAACAAAUAUAUUAACAAAUUUAGGUAAAGGCAAAAAGUGGCAUCAAAGCGUCACAAGCAAAGGCUGCUGGAGUGCAGGCCAAAUGCUGUGUUUGCUGCUGAGCCCCAGCCUCCCGUGCCCACCAUCCCACUUUCUUCUGUGCAGGCAGGGGCUGCCUCCCAUCUCAGUCACUUCUGUUGUUUGAGACAGGGUCUCACUGUUUCGCUCAGGCUGGAAACAGUGGCACGAUCAUAGCUUACUACAGCCUUGAACUUUUGGACCCAAGUGAUCCUUGCACCUUGCACCCCCAAAGAAGCUGGGGCUACCGGCGUGUGUCACCAUAGCCGGCUAAUUUUUCAAAACCUUUGUGUAGAGAUGGGACUCACUAUGUUGCUCAGGCUGCUACCGCUGUCUUUACCAGCCUUUCUUGCUCCUCAUGCUUUGGCAUGUGAAUAAAUCCCAGCCAGUGGGCCCCCAGGUGAUGUCUGCUGAGAGGCUUCUGUGAAAGUACCUUUCUAAUAAAAAAAAGACAAAGGAGAGUCUCCUUUUCUUUGGCCAGAUGUUAUGUCUGCAAUGCUGGUAUCUGAAGCAACCAUGUGGAUCCCAUGAGAACAGCCUGAAGGCCAGGUCAGUGGCUGAGGUGGAGAGGCUGGCUCUUGAUGACAUCAUUGAAUCACAGACCCAACCCUGUGACCACAGACUUCUUCCCCCUGCAUAUGUAGGUUAACCACUAUGUGUGGUCUGUUACAGUGGAGGGCAUCCAAAUUGUAGGAACAUAAAUAAUUUUCCGGCUAGGCACAGUGACUCAAGCCUGUAAUCCCAGCACUUUGGGAGGCCGAGGCGGGUGGAUCACAAGGUCAAGAGAUCGAGACCAUCCUGGUCAACAUGGUGAAACCCCGUCUCUACUAAAAAUACAAAAAAUUAGCUGGGCAUGGUGGUGCGUGCCUGUAAUCCCAGCUACUCAGGAGGCUGAGGCAGGAGAAUUGCCUGAACCCGGGAGGCGGAGGUUGCGGUGAGCCGAGAUCGUGCCAUUGCACUCCAGCCUGGGUAACAAGAGCGAAACUCCGUCUAAAAAAAAAAAAAAAGAAAUAAUUUUCCUCUCUCUGAGGGUCUGGGCCAGUGAUGAGUGGGGCUGAUGUGAAGAGAGAAGUCAAACCCAAUUUCUUAUGGGGCAGACAGAAAGCAGCUGUUCCGUGACAUGGGAGCUCCAUGCUUUGGGAUACAUCUUGCUGGAGAAUGGAGCCCAGCCUGAGUGAGCAGCCCACACUGAUGGAUUGGAGAUAGAAGAAAUAAAAAAUGCCUUCUCUUCCUUGCUCCUGAGUAAGUGGUUGCCUUCCAUUUCAGGCAGCAGAGUCUGAAUUCCCAUCUGCUGGGAACACAGAAAGGGGCAUAGCAAUGUAGUUACAAACCUGAAGAGUCUGUACAUCUCUCACUAAUCAAGCCAACACAGUAUGGAGCCAGGUCUUCCUAUUUGGAUGAGAAAGAGCGGACAGGGUCACAUUUGCUUGCCUUUUACUGCUCACUCAUUGAAUAGCAUUAGGAAAGGUUUACUUCAUGAACCUGGCACAAAGUAGGUUCUGUGCCUGAUGUUAACAUUCACUGUGCCCUCUUCACAAAUGAAAAGGUGGAAAAUUUCUGACUUCUGGUAAAUUCACAUUGAAAUAACUGUUUCUUGGGACACAGAUCCUGCAGUUCUUCCAUCCCUCCAGGCUGCUGUGAUUAUUUUUAAAAGUUUUUCAUGGUGUAAGGAGAAGAACCGUUGAAAAGCUGUAAGUAGAGGUUAAUUUGGUGUUCAAAAAUCAAGUGAUAGUCGACUCUAUCUCAUAGCUCAAUGAAUAGUAGGAUGAGGAGAGAAAUUUAACUAUACUUUUGAAUUGAAUCCCUUUUUAUAUGUAGCUUUAAAAACUUGCACAUUGAUAUUUUCUCCUCUAUUGAACCUUAGCAUAUAAAAAAGUUAAUUUUUUUAAAAAGCAUUUUAUAUGUAGAGAUGAGCUUUCAUAUUUCUCAGACUUAAAUUUUAAAGCAGAGUACGCAGUUGUUUUGCCUGCUUAACAAUCUCCUUUUUUUUUUUCCUUUUUUUAAAUUUUAUUUAUUUUUAUUGCAUUUUAGGUUUGGGGGUACAUGUGCAGAACAUGGAAGAUAGUUGCCUAGGUACACAUGUGGCAGUGUGAUUUGCUGCCUUCCUCCCCUUCAUCCGCAUCUGGCAUUUCUCCCCAUGCUAUCCCUCCCCAGCUCCUCCACCCGCUGUCCCUCCCCUAUUCCCCCGAAGAGACUCCAGUGUGUAGUGCUCCCCUGGGCCCUGUGUCCAUGUGUUCUCAUUGUUCAUCACCCACCUAUGAGUGAGAAUAUGCAGUAUUUAAUUUAUGUUCUUGUGUCAGUUUGCUGAGAAUGAUGUUCUCCAGCUUCAUCCAUGUCCCUACAAAGGACACGAACUCAUCGUUUUUGAUUGCUGCAUAAUAUUCCAUGGUGUAUAUGUGCCACAUUUUCCCAGUCCAGUCUGUCAUCGAUGGGCAUUUGGGUUGGUUCCAGGUCUUUGCUAUUGUAAACAGUGCUGCAAUGAACUUUCGUGUGCAUGUGUCCUUAUAGUAGAAUGAUUUAUAAUCCUUUGGAUAUAUACCUAGUAAUGGGAUUGCUGGGUCAAAUGGAAUUUCUAUUUCUAGGUCCUUGAGGAAUCGCCACACUGUCUUCCACAAUGGUUGAACUAAUCUACACUCCCACCAGCAGUGUAAAAUUGUUCCUAUUUCUCUACAUCCUCUCCAGCAUCUGUUGUCUCCAGAUUUUUUAAUGAUUGCCAUUCUAACUGGCGUGAGAUGGUAUCUCAAUGUAGUUUUGAUUUGCAUUUCUCUAAUGACCAGUGAUGAUGAGCAUUUUUUCAUAUAUUUGUUGGCCUUAUCACGUGUGUCUUCUUUUGUAAAGUGUCUGUUCAUAUCGUUUGCCCAUUUUUGAAUGGGCUUGUUUUUUUUUUGUAAAUCUGUUUGAGUUCUUUGUAAAUUCUGGAUAUCAGCCCUUUGUCAGAUGGGUAAACUGCAAAAUUUUUUCCCAUUCUGUUGGUUGCCGAUCCACUCUAGUGACUGUUUCUUUUGCCGUGCAGAAGCUGUGGAGUUUGAUUAGGUGCCAUUUAUCUAUUUUGACUUUUGUUGCCAAUGCUUUUGGUGUUUUGGUCAUGAAGUCCUUGCCUACUCCUAUGUCCUGAAUGGUUUUGCUAGAUUUUCUUCUAGGGUUUUUAUGGUGUUGGGUCUUAUGUUUAAGUCUUUAAUUCAUCUGGAGUUAAUUUUAGUAUAAGGUGUCAGGAAGGGGUCCAGUUUCUGCUUUCUGCACAUGGCUAGCCAGUUUUCCCAACACCACUUAUUAAACAGGGAAUCCUUUCCCAAUUGCUUGUUUUUGUCAGGUUUAUCAAAGAUUGUAUGGUUGUAGAUAGGUUUGUUGCCUCCAAUGCCUCUGUUCUGUUCCGUUGGUCUAUAUCUCUGUUUUGGUACCAGUACCAUGCUGUUUUGCUUACUGUAGCCUUGUAGUAUAGUUUGAAGUCCGGUAGUGUGAUGCCUCCUGCUGUGUUCUUUUUGCUUAGAAUUGACUUGGCUAUGCGGGCUCUCUUUGGUUCUAUACGAAGUUCAUGGUGUUUUUAUCCAGUUCUGUGAAGAAAGUCAAUGGUAGCUUGAUGGGGAUAGCAUUGAUUCUGUAAAUUACUUUGGGCAGUAUGGCCAUUUUCACAAUACUGAUUCUUCGUAACCAUGAACAUGGAAUGUUUCUCCAUCUGUUUGUGUCCUCUCUGAUUUUGUUGAGCAGUGGUUUGUAGUUUUCCUUGAAGAGGUCCCUUACGUUCCUUGUGAGUUAUAUUCCUAGAUAUUUUAUUCUCUUUGUAGCAAUUGUGAAUGGCAGUUCGUUCUUGAUUUGGCUCUCUUUAAGUCUGUUAUUGGUGUAGAGGAAUGCUUGUGAUUUUUGCACAUUGAUUUUAUAUCCUGAGACUUUGCUGAAGUUGCUUAUCAGUUUCAGGAGUUUUUCGGCUGAGACAAUGGGGUCUUCUAGAUAUACUAUCAUGUCAUCUGCAAAUAAAGACAAUUUGGCUUCCUCCUUUCCUAUUUGAAUACCCUUUAUUUCUUUUUCUUGCCUGAUUGCUCUAGCUAGAACUUCCAGUACUAUAUUGAAUAGGAGUGGUGAGUGAGGGCAUCCUUGUCUAAUGCCAGAUUUCAAAGGGAAUACUUCCAGUUUUUGCCCAUUCAGUAUGAUAUUGGCUGUUGGUUUGUCAUUAUUUUGAGAUACGUUCUAUCAAUGCCGAGUUUAUUGAGGGUUUUUACAAUAAAGGGCUGUUGAAUUUUGUCAAAGGCCUUCUCUGUGUCAAUUGAGAUAAUUAUGUGGUUUUUGUUUUUGGUUCUGUUUAUGUGGUGAAUUACGUUUAUAGACUUGCAUAUGUUGAACCAGCCAUGCAUCCCCGGGAUGAAUCCUACUUGAUCAUGGUGGAUAAGCUUUAUGAUGUGCUGUUGCAAUCACCUGCCAGUAUUUUAUUCCUUUUUCUUUUUUUAAGAUUUUAUUCUUUUUAAGAGACUGAGUCCACUAUGUUGACCAGGCUGGUCUCAUACUCCUGAGCUCAAGUGAUCCUCCUGCCUUAGCUUCCCAAGAUGUAAGUAUUACAGGCAAGAGCCACUAUGUCUAGCCCCAACCUUUUCUAGAAAAUUCUGAGAAUUGUCUAAUCCACAAACUCCAUCUACAUGGUUAGUACAAGUCACCACUAAAAUAUGGUCCAAUCUAGGAAUCCUAACCCCUCUUCAGAUCAUAGAAUCCUGGAGAGAGUUUACCUCUAUAUCCUUCUGUCUCCCUACAGUGUUUCUUCCUGCAUCUUGUGAAAACCUUUGCAGAUGGAUCUUCUGUUCUGAACACGUUUCUCCGAGGUGUGUCUUGCUUUGUUGCUGGAGUCUACAUCCAUGUCUAGCUAAUCUAACCCUUGUUACCUGAUAGUAAUUACUAUAUCAACUUUGUCGACGUGUUACUAUAAAGGAUCAGAGAGAGCAUGAACACAUUAGUCUCUAUAAGGCUAAUUCUACCCCAGCACCCAUCAAAGCGACCCAAAUGACACGCCAUGCAUCUCGAGUGACCGUGCACUGCCACAUACUCUGAGCUCUACUACAGGUAAUGCUACACCAAAUUGACAUUGUAACUGUGUUUCAAAUGUCUCUUAGAGACAAAUAUAGAACAGUAGGUAUAAUAACCUCUGAAAACUUCCAAGAGUAAUGAGGUUUUGCCAAGGCUUGUUGUAUUUAUCAUGGAUAGUUGUCAGGAAAUAACUUACCAGAAAGCCUGACUGAUUUGACAGUCAUUUUGACCUGUGAUUUAUUUAUUAAAUACAAUUUGAAUAUUCCUAAAAGAAAAAUUGCAAAGACAUCAUAGAUCCUGUAUCUUUUUAUAAACAAUCCCUUGUGAUUUUUAAGUUGCAAGAAAAUGCUGACAGAAAAAUUUUCAUGAUGUUGAAAUAGGUAUAAAUAAAAGUUUAUACAAAGCCACUGUCUCAACAUCAGCAGGAUAAGAGAUAAGAACUUCUGAGACAUUAUACUGUUCCCC